RNAcentral lists this ribosomal RNA (245 nucleotides) under uncultured bacterium. RNAcentral describes it as "partial 16S ribosomal RNA". It matches the Rfam family "Bacterial small subunit ribosomal RNA", at positions 528 to 772 of the family's 1533-position model. The record is from RNAcentral.
UAGGGGGCAAGCGUUAUCCGGAUUUACUGGGUGUAAAGGGAGCGUAGACGGCAUGACAAGUCUGAUGUGAAAGAUCGGGGCUCAACCCCGGGCCUGCAUUGGAAACUGCCAGGCUGGAGUACAGGAGAGGUAAGCGGAAUUCCUAGUGUAGCGGUGAAAUGCGUAGAUAUUAGGAGGAACACCAGUGGCGAAGGCGGCUUACUGGACUGUAACUGACGUUGAGGCUCGAAAGCGUGGGGAGCAAA